Molecule: long non-coding RNA, 2648 nt
Organism: Salvia splendens (bonfire salvia)
Lineage: Eukaryota; Viridiplantae; Streptophyta; Magnoliopsida; Lamiales; Lamiaceae
Exons: 10
Source: RefSeq, a predicted model, not a curated record
UGGUUUUGCAUCGUGGGUUCAUUGUAGCCCACUUUUUUUGUAAGUCAAUUGGUGUCUUUUGAUCAUUUCAUAGAUGAUCAUUUUUCAAUAUAAUUUUAUCCUUCCUUUGUAUUUCUUGAGGAAUUAUUUUCUGGUUAGUUAAUAUGCUCCUGUUUAUGAAAUUGUUUGUUUUUCUAUUUUCUGGUUAGUUAAUAUACUUAAAUAUUUUAUAGAUUUAGCAACUUAAGUACAUGGUAAUGUUCUGUCUUAGUUAUUAUUUGUCCAUUAUUUACAAGUUUAUGGAGUCAAGAAAUCUGCUUGUUUUGAAUUUUUCUUUGGAUUUCAAGAUAAAUCUUUAUCCAUUCCUUUGCCAUUGUUUGAAGCGAAAUAGUAUCUAAGUAGUAGAUUAAUCCUCAUAUCAUGCCUUAUUAUUUUUAUUUUUAUUUUUCUUGAUAUUCUCUUUGCUUCAUCUGGUGAAUAUUUAUAUACUCCUUUAUUUAUUGGUCUUUUCUAAAAAUGCUAGAUAUUACUAUUAUAUACAUGUUGACUUUGGUUCUUUGAUGUUAGAGUAUUGCGCUUACUGUGAUUCUUUUGUAUGAAUUGCAUUGGCAGAUGGGGCUGCUUUUUCAAAAUUGUUAUCUUGCUACUAUGUUUUUUGUUUCAGCUAUUGUGUCUUUAAAGACCAGAUUGAAUAACAAACGAAUUUGGAUCCAUCUGUUGAGAUGUUGAUCCUUUUACUGUGUUGUUCAUCCAGAAAUUAACUGCAUCUGGUGAACAGGAAUUUACCGUUUUUUGCUUUUCUUGAAGAUAUAAAGGUAUUUCUGCAUUAAACCUGCUUUACUACGAGGCAUCUGCACUCCAAAGAAGGUUGUUAAAGUAAUUUAUUUUACAUCAUCUGCGGUGACUGGUGGCAUGGAUUGUCUUCCAUGUGAAGAUAUCAGUGAAAAGAUCACCCCCACUUUCUUUUAGAGAGUUCUGAUUGGAAGGUCCGCUUGGAAUCUAUUGAAAGUGUGACCAAAAUUCUGGAAGAGGUGAACAAACGUGUUCUGCUGGCUGGAACUGGAGAUCUAUUUGGAGCUAUAAAAGGGCGUCUACACGACACUAACGAAAAUUUGAUUAUUGCUACUUUAUCCACAAUUGGUGCUCUCUUAUACUAUUAGUUAUUGUUUUAUUAAGAGUCUCUUGCGCUAACUAACUGAGAUUCACAAUACCAAUAUUAUAUAUACUUGGGAUCAUUUAACAAAUCCCGAAUUCCUCAAAGCCAAUAGCUGUACAUAUGCGUGAGUGGUCAUUGAGUACCUUAGAUACUUGGCUCUGCUCAUCCCAAUAAAAUGGUCUGUAGUCAAUUUGGAAAAUAGUGUUUUUCGAACUUCUGUUUUGAGUAUUGUUGACCUCAUCUUUUGUUGUGUCUACCAUUACCAUGUAUUUCAGCUGUUCUCACAGACGCUAGGAUAAAUCAGCAAAUGUUCGUAAAGCGGCUGAAGCAUACUUUAAUGUAUUGAGGGUUUGUGGACAAGAAACGGUAUCCAAGAAUUUGAGAGAUAUACAAGGUUCUACUUUAGCUAUUAUUGGCAAACAACUGAAGCCAUAUUAAGCUUUUCAAGAUAAUUAUGAAUCUGGUGGAUAUGUUUUGUUAAGCAUCACGGCAGAAAGCAUCCUAAAGACAGCAAAACCAAAUGGUCACGGUGACCGCGAAUCUUGGCAUGGAAGUAGAAAUGCACCUUCGUAUGUUUUAUGUGGUUAAUAUCUUUCUUCUGAACCAUAAUGUAUUUUUUAAUUGAUGUCCUGUGUAUUUAGAGAGUUGGCACCUAACAAGGGAUUCAUGCAAGAAUCCAUCUUGUCUGUUCAAGACAUCGAUAUUCAGUCAUGAGUUUUGAUCAGCAAGGAUGACAUGGAAAUGAUUAUUGUUUGCAGAUUCAAAUUCGAAGAAUUGCAUAUAGAGCACAUUCAAGAUCUUUCGUUUUGAGAUAAGGUACUUAAAUUUCAUCCCGGGCUUCUGGAUCUGUUGAAAAAUGAGGGCUACACUAUGACAGAAGCAGAUGCAACCCAUCUUUCUUCCUUUCUUGGUUGAGAAGGAGAAAUUGAAGGAGAAGAAACCUACUUCAAUGGAGGCCCUUACCCAAACCCUUCAAGCAAUGCUGCUUGAGUCUAACUGACAUAGUUGAAGGUCUAAAAGCUGGAUAAAGAACAUUCGUUGUACGAGCCAUAGUAAAGAACACAUCUUUUUUGUACCUUCAGUAACUAUGCAUCUAUUGGCUCAAACAAUAGGUAAGCCGAAUUAGUUGAUUUUGUAGUAAUUACGGAAUAUAUUUCCAUGUAGGUAACUGAAACUAAUAGUCGAAUUAUCUGAUAAUUUAUCAGUCAUUUUAUGAUUCCCUUAAUGAAGGAACACCUGAUGUGAGAGAUGCAGCCAAAGCUUUCUCAGCUUUAGCAGCUAGGCUAUUGACAAAGUAACUAUUUCAAGAUUUUCCAUCUACAUCUCGCUGGUUUUAAUUGCCAAUUUAGCUAUUUUGACAUCUUAAUUGCCAAUUUAGCUAUUUUGACAUCUUUGUUAUUUAAAUGGUUUGCAUGAGACCAUUCGAGAGGUGUCAAUAAAAGCUGGAUGAUGUAAGACAAAAGAAGUUUGGUAUCUGAUUUUUGUUAUAGUUAUAUACUGUGAAUUAUAGUAA